This 725-nucleotide long non-coding RNA is filed under the name Homo sapiens (human). Its description in RNAcentral is "HSALNT0356573". Lineage: Eukaryota; Metazoa; Chordata; Mammalia; Primates; Hominidae. The record is from RNAcentral.
UGCCUGAACCUGGGAGGUAGAGGUUGCAGUGAGCCAAGAGCGUGCCACUGCGCUCCAGCCUGGGUAACAGAGUGACAGCCUGUCUCAACAAAAAAAAAAAAAAAAAAAAAGAAAAGAAAAAGAAUGUUAUAUAAAUGGAAUUAUACAUGUCACAUUUGGGGACUGGCUUUUUCUGCUCAGCAUAAUUCCCUGGAAAUUCAUCUAGCAGACCUAGAUAGUUUUGUUGUUGUAGUAACAUGAAGUGGAUCUAUUCCUCUGGUCAUACCAUUCCAAAUCUAAAUUUUUAUGCAGGGAAUAGAGGUACACUGUUUUGGGGGAUAUUUAUCUUAAGGGAUCUCAAACAAUUUUUUGAAUUGUUAACAUGAGACUGUCUUCUUUCAAAGAGCCUGUGUACCAUCCAGAAAGACUGAGUAGGGGGCCAAUAUUAUAUUCCAGACUCUAUUUUUACUCAGAUAGAACUGAACAUAUGGGGUACAGUAGUGGUACAGUUUAUCACUAGAUACAUUUUAGUUUGCCUUUUUGUCUUAAAUGUCUUAAAUGUAAAAAUUUAAAGAAAAAUAGAUAUUCCUAUGGGGGCUUUUUAAAUUUCUUUAAACUGCUAUGGACAGACUUGUAAUUUUUUUUUUUUUUUUUGAGACGGAGUCUUGUUUUGUCGCCCAGGCUGGAGUGCAACUCCUCAAGAAAAAACAAACAAACAAACAAAAACUGCAACUGUACUCCCUAAC